GAGUUUGAUCCUGGCUCAGAACGAACGCUGGCGGCGUGCUUAACACAUGCAAGUCGAACGAAGCACCCCAUCCGAAAGCGGAAGCAGCUUGCUGCGGAAGAUUUCACCCGGGGUGACUGAGUGGCGGACGGGUGAGUAACGUGUGGGUAACCUGCCCCAUAGAGGGGGACAACAGUUGGAAACGACUGCUAAUACCGCAUAGUAAGGAACUGCCGCAUGACGGUUUCUUGAAAGAUUUAUCGCUAUGGGAUGGACCCGCGUCUGAUUAGCUAGUUGGUAAGGUAACGGCUUACCAAGGCGACGAUCAGUAGCCGGCUUGAGAGAGUGAACGGCCACAUUGGGACUGAGACACGGCCCAAACUCCUACAGGAGGCAGCAGUGGGGAAUAUUGCACAAUGGGGGAAACCCUGAUGCAGCGACGCCGCGUGAGUGAAGAAGUAUUUCGGUAUGUAAAGCUCUAUCAGCAGGGAAGAUAAUGACGGUACCUGACUAAGAAGCCCCGGCUAACUACGUGCCAGCAGCCGCGGUAAUACGUAGGGGGCAAGCGUUAUCCGGAUUUACUGGGUGUAAAGGGUGCGCAGGUGGCAGGGCAAGUCAGAUGUGAAAGCCCGGGGCUCAACCCCGGUAUUGCAUUUGAAACUGUCCGGCUAGAGUGCAGGAGAGGUAAGCGGAAUUCCUAGUGUAGC
This 686-nucleotide ribosomal RNA is filed under the name uncultured bacterium. RNAcentral describes it as "bacterial SSU rRNA". It matches the Rfam family "Bacterial small subunit ribosomal RNA", at positions 9 to 679 of the family's 1533-position model. The record is from RNAcentral.